UUUCUAUGUUAGUUGAGUAAGGAUGCUGACCUACUGAUCGGAUCUCCAGCCCAGGACUAUGGUUUUCCAAUAGUUAGAGGUCAUUGAUCCUGAAGGAAAAUUUUUUGCCUAAGAAUUGGAGCUGCCUGAUCUCUACAUAUUGCAAAUGGUCUGACCUUUUCAUUCAAUAGUCACUAGGCAUGGACAGCCUGGUUCUGAGUGUGCAAAGCUGUGGCUUCCCCUCCUAUAGACGCCUUCUGAACAGCAAAUCUGACUUCCUCCUCAGACCAAGGCAUCCUGAAAACAUCCAAGCAGAGGAAGCAUUUUUUCACCAUGACAUGGGAAAGGGCCACAGAGAUCCAAAUGGAAACGGACAUUUCAUACCAAUGCAUUGGAUGAUAACUGGUACAUCGUCAAGGGACAGAAGUGUCAACAGAAACCAUGGAUAUUGUUUGUAGACUAUGGCAUCACAAGAUGAAAAAAAUAUGGAUCCCUGUGUCACUAAUUGGAAGAGAGUGAUCAAGAGAGCUAUGAACAAUACAUAUAUAUUUUAUUAAGCUCCUGAGAUUUGGGGAUUGUUGGCUACAACAGUCAUACUUACACAUUUUCCCAUAUCCUAUUCUUUACCAAACCAUCAGAAUGAACCUAUUAAAACCAAGGUAAAAUUACAUCACUCUUUCGUUCACUUACUUUAUUCAAUCACAUAGGCCUUCAAGCUGUUCCUGGAGUGUACCAACUACUACUUCACUUCAGGCCUUUUACAUGCUCUUUCCUAUCCCUGGAGGGAUCUAUCCCUAGUUCUUUGUAGGCCUGCUCCCUUAUCUCCUUGAUCAUUCUCUUUGUGAGGCUUUCCUAGACCUACUUACUUAAAAUGGACUCUUUCAAUCUAAUAUAUUGCCCUUCCCAUUUGAAUUUUCUUGAGAAUGUGUAUCUCACACAUUCAGUAUUUUAUGUUUUAUCUCUUUGAAUCCCAGUACCAAGAAAUAUGUCUAGACCAUUGUAGGAAUUCAGUAAGUAUUUGUUAAAUUAUGAAUGGAUUAAGAAUAUGUGGCAUAUAUACAUAAUGGAAUACUACUCAGCCAUUAAAUGAACAAUAACAAAAUAAUGCCAUUUAUAGCAACAUGGAUGGAACUAGAGACUCUCAUACUAAGUGAAAUAAGUCAGAAAGAGAAAGAUGAAUACCAUAUGAUAUCACUUCUAUCUGGAAUCUAAUAUAAGACACAAAUGAACCUUUCCACAGAAAAGAAAAUCAUGGACUUGGAGAAAAGACUUGUGGUUACCAAGGGGGAGGGGGAGGGAGUGGGAUGGACUGGGAAUUUGGUGUUAAUAGAUGCAAACUAUUGCCUUUGGAAUGGAUUAGCAAUGAGAUCCUGCUGUGUAGCACUGGGAACUAUAUCUAGUCACUUAUGAUGUAGCAUGAUAAUGUGAGAAAAAAGAAUGUGUACAUGUAUGUGUAACUGGGUCACCAGGCUGUACAGCAGAAAAUUGACAGAACACUGAAAACCAGCUAUAAUGGAAAAAAUAAAAAUCAUUUUAAAAAGAAAAGAAAAUAAUUU
This 1535-nucleotide long non-coding RNA is filed under the name Sus scrofa (pig). RNAcentral's name for it is "lncRNA (ENSSSCG00025043945.1)". The record is from RNAcentral. Lineage: Eukaryota; Metazoa; Chordata; Mammalia; Artiodactyla; Suidae.